UCCGCUUCCCAGGUUUAAGGGAUUCUCAUGCCUCAGCCUCCUGAGUAGCUGGAUCUACAGGCACACGCCACCACGCCCAGCUAGGUUUUUUUGGUAGAGACGGGGUUUCACCCUGUUGGCCAGGCUGGUCUCAAACUCCUGCCCUCAAGUGAUCCGCCUACCUUGGCCUCCCAAAGUGCUGGGAUUAUAGGUGUGAGCCACUGCACUGGGCUUAUUUUUUAUUUUUAUUUUUUUAGAAACAGGGUCUUACUCUGUCACCUAGGCUGGAGUGUAGUGGCAUGAUCAUAGCUCACUGCAACCUCAAACUCCUGAGCUCAAGGUAUCCUCUGUCUCAGCCUCCCAAGUAGCUGAGACUACAGGAAUGUGCCACCAAGCUGGCUAUUUAUUUUAUUUUCUGUAGAACCAAAAAAGGUCUCACUAUGUUCCCUAGGCUGGUCUCGAACUCGUGGCCUCAAGCAAUCCUCCCACCUCAGCCUCCCAAGCACUGGGAUUACAGCACUAUAGGUUUUAAAAGGCAGUGUUCCCAUAAGAAAUAAUGGCAAAGAAAGGAACUCCCAGUCACAUUCAGCAAACCUGUUUUCCCAGCUACAUUCAUGAACUGGUUGAUGCAGGGUCUUACUCUGUCACCUGGCCUGGAGUACAGUGGCACAAUCACGCUUCACUGCAGCCUCAACCUCCCUGGCUCAAGCGAUCUUCCUACCUCAGGCUUCCAAGUAGUUGGGACAGAGUCUGGCUGUCACCCAGGCUGGAGUACAGCGGUGCAAUCUCAGCUCACUGCAAUCUCCGCCUCCUGGAAUCAAGCAAUUCUCCUACCUCAGCCUCCUGAAUAGUUGGGAAUACAGGUACGUGCCACCACACCCGGCUAACUUUUGUAUUUUUAGUAGAGACAGGAUUUCACCAUGUUGGCCAGGCUGGUCUCGAACUCCUGACCUCAAGUGAUCUGCCCACCUUGGCCUCCCAAAGUGCUGGGAUUACAGGCGUGAGCCACCGCACCUAGCCCAUGGUUUUCAUUUGAUCUAAAUAUCUUCACCAUGUUGAAUCUACACAAGAGGACACAUCAGACAAACGCAGAUCAAGGGACAUUCUAUAAAAUAACUGGCCUGUUAUCUUCAAAAGUGGUCAUGAAAGUAAAGGAAAGACUGAGGAACUGUUCCAGACUAAAGAAGACUAAAGAGGGAUGAAAACCAAAAGCAGUGUUUUGAUCUUGGGUUGGAUUCUUUUGCAAGGACAUUAUUGGGACAAUUGCUGAAACUUGAAUGGAGUACAUUGAUGCGACUGUAGUAAAACGUCAUUGUCAGUGUCCUAGUUUGGAUGGUUGUAUUAUACUUAGGUAAGGAAAUGUUGCUGUUUGUGAGAAAUACACACAGUAAACUAUUCUCGUGGGCAACAGGGCAUGUUGUUGGCAACAUACUCUUAAAUGGCUCAAGGCAAAAAAAAAUUUUUUUGCCCUUGUCUUGCAAUUUUUCUGUAAGUUUAACAUUAUUUCAAAAUAAAAAGAAAAGGAAAAA
This is a long non-coding RNA of Gorilla gorilla gorilla (western lowland gorilla), 1508 nucleotides long. RefSeq lists it as uncharacterized. Lineage: Eukaryota; Metazoa; Chordata; Mammalia; Primates; Hominidae. The record is from RefSeq and is a predicted model, not a curated record. The transcript has 4 exons.